AUUGAACGCUGGCGGCAUGCCUUACACAUGCAAGUCGAACGGCAGCGCGGACUUCGGUCUGGCGGCGAGUGGCGAACGGGUGAGUAAUACAUCGGAACGUACCCUGUUGUGGGGGAUAACUAGUCGAAAGAUUAGCUAAUACCGCAUACGACCUGAGGGUGCAAGUGGGGGACCGGAAACGGCCUCAUGCAGCAGGAGCGGCCGAUGUCUGAUUAGCUAGUUGGUGGGGUAAAGGCCCACCAAGGCGACGAUCAGUAGCUGGUCUGAGAGGACGAUCAGCCACACUGGGACUGAGACACGGCCCAGACUACUACGGGAGGGAGCAGUGGGGAAUUUUGGACAAUGGGGGCAACCCUGAUCCAGCAAUGCCGCGUGUGUGAAGAAGGCCUUCGGGUUGUAAAGCACUUUUGUCCGGAAAGAAAUCGCGCUGGUUAAUACCUGGCGUGGAUGACGGUACCGGAAGAAUAAGCACCGGCUAACUACGUG
This 486-nucleotide ribosomal RNA is filed under the name uncultured bacterium. RNAcentral describes it as "partial 16S ribosomal RNA". It matches the Rfam family "Bacterial small subunit ribosomal RNA", at positions 30 to 507 of the family's 1533-position model. The record is from RNAcentral.